ACAGGAAAGUAGUUGUGCAAGCAGUCACGGCUGAACCACUUUCUCUAAUAUAGUUAUACAUUGGACCUUUAUUUUCUUUUAUUUAUUUAUUAUUUGUCAGCACGGUCUAGAUAACUGUUGUUGGUGUGAUCAGAAGCACUGAUGAAUCCACAAUCGACAUCAAGUGUAAGGUGGAUGACAUGACGGCGGCUCCCAUGGAUGUGAAGCAGUGGAUCGACACCGAGGACAUGGGUGUUGAUAACUCAAUCAUUCCUCCAGGCUCCUACGUCAAGGUCUCAGGCAACCUUCGCUCUUUUCAUGUCAGAACGAUAACCGAUCUUUGUUUGCAUUCAGCGUCUGAGUGCUGGAGGGUAUUAAUGAAGUAACUUCACACUUGCAGGAGGUUGUGAAUACUCAUCUGCAGCGGAGCAAACCACAGAACACGAUGAGAGGAGGUGGAGGAAUGAGUGUGAUGCACCCGUCACAUACUAGCAUGAGCUUCAAAGGAAGCUAUUCUGGCGCUAGCAUGAUACUAGUCAAUGGUUUGACUGCCAACCAGAGCCAAGUCAGUCAAAAAUGCUUCAUUGUACCAGAGUUGAAUGUGACAACAUUUGUUUGUGUGCACUUCCGUUCCUUCAGAGCUAAAGGCCACUGUCAAAGAAACCUGGGCUUCAGACCACCUCAGCAGUGCCACAAACUGAUCACCUCCAUGCCACGCC
Long non-coding RNA from Carassius auratus (goldfish), 698 nucleotides. RefSeq lists it as uncharacterized. NCBI's taxonomy places the organism in Eukaryota, Metazoa, Chordata, Actinopteri, Cypriniformes, Cyprinidae. The record is from RefSeq and is a predicted model, not a curated record. The transcript is spliced from 4 exons.